Solea senegalensis (Senegalese sole) is the source of this 632-nucleotide long non-coding RNA. RefSeq lists it as uncharacterized. The transcript is spliced from 2 exons. NCBI's taxonomy places the organism in Eukaryota, Metazoa, Chordata, Actinopteri, Pleuronectiformes, Soleidae. The record is from RefSeq and is a predicted model, not a curated record.
ACCAGCUAAAAAUAUAAUCUGGUGAGACUGAUGGGCUGGUUCACAGAAUCUGGAUUUGACAAGGAUAUGCUAAUGUCUAAUGUGGUACAGAGCCUACAGGAAGGUACACCCAGGUGCUACUACUUAAGUCUCUUACCCAGCUGGGACAAUCCCGAACCACUACAGUGACAUCUCCAAACACACGCGAGGUGUACUCCAUGAAGGCAGGGUUGUUCAGACUGCUCUCCAGGUCGCAGGGUCCCACCAGAGCUCCAUGGCCCAGGUAGCUCCAAAGCAGGCCUCCUUGCAGCUGUCCCUGGCUCAUGAUCUCCUCCCCAGGCCCGACUCCUCCAGGACACUCACUGCCCAGAGCCACAAUGUGGAUAGACCUAUAAGCCAUGAACACAAGAGUAAGGAGGCAUCAUCCCACAGACAGAUGUGUAGCAGUGAGACAGGACACCUCUCUAAGGAUGGGACAGUAAUACAUUUUGUUAUACAUGAAGAUAAAAAGCAUUCACAAUAAGUCAAUAUUGGCAAAAUUGGGGAAUGGGGAAAGUCAUGUAUAUUUAACAUGAACAGUUUAAAAUGUUCAUACCACACAGGGAUUUAUUAAAGCUGACUGCAUCUUUUCACUGGUUCCAGAUUCAUAAUGA